UACUUGUUUUCUGUUUGUAUUUUUCUAGAGGCUUUAUAUGGAGCUCAUGCCAGCGGCUGACUGCACGUGCAUUGUAAAUGUGGUGUUGUACUCGUUUUCUGAGACUGCCGGAACGUAUGACGAGUAUGGACCGGUGAGCUGUGCGCUCAUUGGGAGCAAGGCGAACGACACAACUUUUAAGCUUGGCUGCUAUCGUGACAACAAAUACAUCUGCACCGCAACUAUAUCGCCGAGCAAUGAUGCUGGAGCUCACAUCGCUCGUGACGGCGCGUACGUCACAUUUCGUGAUGAGAAAAGUCACUACUGGUCUUUGCAGUUUGCUGCAGAGGAUGCCGCCAUUGAAUUCUGUGCGCAGGUUGCAGUCGCCAUGUUUGGCGCGGCCGGCGAACCGACGGACAGCAUCCUCUCCUGUGAUGUUGUGAAGGGCAAGGAGAACAAGCAGAUCUUUGUCGGCGACCUCGUCAAGGCCCUCUACCGUGUAUGGGUGGUGCAGUCUAGCGACUCCAGCGACGGACUACCGCGUCUUGGCAGCUUGCUGGAGAAGGAGAGCGAGGAUGCUGUGAAAUUCACGGCGCCAGCCAGCCAUCAAUGUGUGAUGGCGUCGAUGCGGGGCUUCGAGGGCAUGACAGUUGGUAUGAGAGAAGGAGGGCAACGCCUCAUGGUGAUCCCUCUCAGAGCAAAACGUGGACGCGGGCCAAAUGUCAACAUGUGCUUUUAUGUUGAGGUUAUUCGCCGCAAGGAUCAGCAAACCUCAACAUCCCAGUCCCACAGAAGCGCCAAGGAGAGAGGUCAGCUGCUUUUGACCGGGGGUGAUGGUGGAACGGCUACGGGCUCGCCGGCGCAGCCUCUCGCCAUAAACUCUGGCUUCGCAGAUGGACACUCGGCGAUGAUGGCAAGCGGCUUCAGCAAGGAGCAGUUUUUGCUGGUGGACAGGCUGCGCGAUCAGGUGUUUACUCUCACACAGCAGCUGCGUGACACUCGCCGCGAGCUGGACAGCCUUUGCGCUGACCUGAAACGUCACGAGCGCCAGUCUGGAACGCAGAGCUUGACGAGGGCACAAAUCGAGUACUCGAUCGAGCACCUUCUUGCCGAGGGUGACACUAAGAAAAAGGUAUUGGAGGACAAGAGAGCCCUCAUUGGUGAAACAGAGGCACGAAAUCAAGUGUUGGAGGCGCGGCUCGCCAAGUUUCUGCAGACGACGAAAACAUUGGGGGAGGAGGCGAAGGCGGCUCUUGAUGAUAGCGCCGGCGAGCGCAUCGAGCUGGAUCGGCAGCUUGCUGACACGCAGGCGCGAAUUGUUCGGCUCAAUGGUGAGAUAGAGGAUUUGGGUCGACUCCUCUGCUGUCUCGAAGAUACUUUUCGCUUGACAGCCUUAAAAGUGAAGGAAGAAAAGCUGCGUCUGACGCUCUCCAUCACAGAUCAUGAGAAGCACGAGGAGAGGCUGCUGAGGCUCCAGGAGAAAUACAGUGAAGAGGUAGCCAGGCGCAAGCUCUUAGAGUCAAAAUUGGCACCCUUACAAGAGGAGCUGCGCAAUCUUGAGGACGAUAUGCAGCUCAAGGAGUCACUGACGCAGCAGAUUAGAGCAAAGACGGAGAGCGACAGAACGCACUACGCCCAGCUUAUACAGCAGGAGCGAGAGCAGGCGGCGAUUGAACUAAGGCAGCUCAAGCAGGACCUCAUUGAAGAGUUGGCCGCACGUGAUCGGCAGUAUGAAGAAGCAAAGGAGAGGGUUUCGACGGAAGCCUACGAGCAAGGCAUGGCACAGGGCGUGGAGGAGGGGCUUGCGGACGCUGCCAACGAAGGGGAUGUGAUUGCGCACGACAUGGCGGUGAACGCGCAGCGAUGCAAGGCUGAGGCAGCGGCGUUGCAGGUGCGUGUGCAGGCUAACUGCGCCGCAAACGAGGCGGAUGAGCGCCGUCUCACCUCUGAGAUAGAGUCCCUCCAAACUUCAUUGGCGCGAGUCCUUCAUGACAACAACACCCUCUCGACCCAGCUUGAAGCGGCGCAAGAGGAGCACGCUGUCAAGGUCGGUGAGGUGUACCAGCGGCUCGUUCGCCUCAUCCGCUUGUGUGGAGCCGCCUCAAUCAGUCAGCCCUGCUUGGCAGCAAUGAUGCGGGCUGCCGAGUCCGGGGCAGAGUUUGAUCCCUUCCGCUUCCAGCAGAUGGAGAGCGCGAGGGAAGCGCAGCUGGCGCGAGACGAACGGGCUGCUGUGGCGGCAUGGGUGCGAGCAAGCGUGUACAAUCAACCCACCUACAUGCCACCGCUCCGUCCACCGUUCCCCUAUGCCCCGAUGAGCAAAGGUCCCGUACUUUCCGCAGAGACCAUGGGAACCAAGGUGUUACUGAACCCAGCAGUGCAUCACCGCCUUCCAGUUUUGACGGAGACAACUACAUCCAUCACGGCAGAAACGCCAGCGCCGAUUCCGUCAGCAACGCCGGCGGCUCCUGGGGAGGUAGAGUCCGUCAUUCCUGCGCCUUCGCUUGCGUUGCCGCCGGCUCCAGUAGCCCCUGCCCAACCCGCUGAGGUGGCAGAGUCUCAGCAAAGCGAGCCGCAGGACACGGCGGCUAUUCAAAAGGCGUCACCACGACAGCGCGUCAAGUUUCCUUCGACGAAGAUCCGAUACUUAGGUGACAGCGGUGCAGCCGGGGGAACGGAGGCCACUGCGCAUCAGCGGCAACCUUCUUUCUAGGACUUGUUCGCUUGCGUGAACAUCUCUCACAACCUCAAACAACCCCGUUUAAACAGGAGUAAACGGGGAAACAAAAAGCGCGUCGCUUUUAGAACGCACUGCACCCACUUGUAGCUAGUGGUCAGCUUUCCUUUCCCUUUUUCUCUUUGCUCAUCUGUAAGUUGCUCUUCUUUGGUGUACUUCCGGUGUCUCUUUUUUCACUGUUUUCCAGGUGAUUACUCACCUUUUCUCGGAGUCGCUGAUUAUUGUGAGCUCAAUCUCUCCCUGUGUGUGCGCAACCUGAGUAUCUCUCAGAAG
This 2986-nucleotide unclassified non-coding RNA is filed under the name Leishmania donovani. RNAcentral describes it as "gene:LdHU3.30.4340(CDS-product:hypothetical_prote in_conserved)". The record is from RNAcentral. Lineage: Eukaryota; Euglenozoa; Kinetoplastea; Trypanosomatida; Trypanosomatidae.